RNAcentral lists this long non-coding RNA (18814 nucleotides) under Eutrema salsugineum. Its description in RNAcentral is "long non-coding RNA (ESAL_LNC000584)". The record is from RNAcentral. Lineage: Eukaryota; Viridiplantae; Streptophyta; Magnoliopsida; Brassicales; Brassicaceae.
GUGAUUUUGUAUGAUCCUGUUGAAUGGUGGCUGAGCAUGUGAAAAACCUCUCUAGAAUAAGGCGAUUUUUCUGGUGUCAAUUUUUUCGGUUUGCUGCUCCGGUGCCUUCAUCCUUUCGAUGGUGGUACCAUUAGAUUGCUGCUUUCGUCUGUCCUUUUUGUUUCUUUGGUCUUUUUGAGGCUGUUAGAGUGAGAUCUGAAAUUCUAGAUCUGAUUUUCUGAAUCUAGAUCUGUUUUUUUUGGAUUUCGUUCUUCUUCCUCAUUCUUCUUGUGUAGUUGUUUGGCUGUGGGUUUGCAGUUCUUAGGGUCCCAUGUUGUCUUUUAGAUGGAGUUUGCGUUCAAUUUUGUUUAGUAGGGUGCGACGGUUUUGAAGCGACGGUUUCGUUCUCGGUGUGUCCGCUUGAGCCGGCUUUAGUUUCGUCGCUUCUAUUUCUCAUUUUGGGCAUGGUUUCUGGUUUGUGGUACUUCUUUGCGGUGUUGGUUUUGCUCUAGAGGCGUUUGUGUUUCCUUGCUCUUCUGGAUUGGAUAGUGUUUUCGGUUGUCUGGGUGCUUUGGUAUGAGUCUGGUUUCAGUUCUUGGGUUCGACUUUCGGAUGGUAUUCCGUUGCAGUGUGAUCUUCUAGUCCUUCUUUGGUGGCUCUGUGUUGCCGGGUUUGAUUCUCCGAUGUUGCAGUGGUGUCGUUCUACAGCUCUUCUCUUGCGAGGAUGUGAUCAGUUUUUGUCUGAAGAUUGCAGAAGCUGGCUCGCGAAUGUCCGCGUGUAAGAACUGUCGGGCCUCUUAGUCGUUUUCCCAUCUGAUUUCAAGGUUUUUUCCUUGAGUCUGGGCUCUGGUCGGGUGCUUCGAUUUUUUGAGGCUCUGUUUCACUUUGGUUGCUGUGCUCUGUUCCUCUGCUGUUAUAUUCUCCUUGCUGCGUUUGUGGUUGCUGGUUGAGUUCGAGGUGGGCUUUGCCUCUAGGCUUGUUGUUCUUUGGAGGCAUAUAUGCUAUCUCUUGGUUCUCAUAUUUCUCGGCUUGCUGCAGCUCCUCCUAUGUUCUUUGCGUAAGGGUGUGGUCGGCUUCGGAUCAGUUGUUUCAGAUUUAGUGCAUUGGUGUAUCCUCCCUCUCUUGCAUACUUCACUAUCUUUCUUCUUGUUUUAGAACUGUCUAGUUUUUGGCUUGAUAAAGUAUUUGGUUUUAUGACUUUGUAUUUGGGGUUCUUUCUUGUAGUCUGUCAUUUUUAUCUGUAAGUCCUUAAGUUUCCCCGGUGUUGGGGCUUUGUCUCCGGAUGGAUUUCUUUCCAUGCUGGCUAGUGGCUUGAGCUCUGUUCGUAGUUUUGAGUGUUCGACUCAAUUUCUAAUAAUAAGAUCAGAUGACAAAAAAAAAAAAAGUAUAGUUGUUCAUCUUUCUAUUCAUUUCCAGAUCUUUAUAAACCUCCACCACUCUUUUCUUCCUCUUUGAUAUAUAGUAUAAUAUUUUUCGUUUACCUAGCAUUCUUCUUCUGUGUUUGAUCAAGUAUAGUUAUGGCUUAUCAAGUAUUCUUAAUUUCUUUCUUUCAUCUCUUUUUUGUUGUUUUAGUUUGGUUUUCAAUGUUUUUAAUAGCAAAUCCCAGAUCCAUUGCUCCGGAUGUUGGCUGGUUUAAGUUGAUGGCUAGUCCCAGAUCCGGAGUUGGUUGGUCUAUAUUGAUGGCUAAUCUGGUGAUUCAAUUGGUUGGUUUAAGUUCAUAGCCAAUCCUCUGAUCCCAUUAUCUACAGUUGGUUGGUUGCCUUAAUUCAAAGGGAGUAGGCUAAAGAUUAUGUUUUUAAUUUUGAUGUUUUUGUAGUUAUUUGAUUCAAACAAAUCUUCAAAAACUAUUUGCUUUAAUGUUUUGAAUUUUCAUUAUUGAUUAUCCUUAGUUCUUCAACAAAGGAUUUAUCACACAUAAUCGAAAAUUUGUUGGCUGGUUUUAUUCAAAGGCUUUAGUCUAAGAUUAUUUUUUUAAUCAUGAAGUUUUUGGAUCACAAACAAAUAUUUAAAAUCUGUUUGCUUAAGUUUUUUAAAAUUCUUAUUCUUAAUUAUAAUUAGUUCAUUCAACAACGGAUUUAUCACUCUUAGCUAGUUCAAUCUAGUUUUAAAUUUUAAGGUUUGUGAAUUCUAAUAUGAAUUAAGUUCAAUAUGGUUUGACUAGACACUAUCUUCUAGUGUACAAUUAUAAUUCUUUUCGUUAAUUCGCUGUUUAAUGUUCAUAAGCUACUUUCAUUACAGCUUUGAUUUAGACCAAACAAAAAAAAACUACGCUCUAGGUUUCACUCUUAAAAAACUACUUUCCCUUUUCGUUUUUACGUCUUCUUCAAGUUCAGCUCUGUAAUCGGAAAUCUCGGAAAUUUGUGGCUUCCUGGUUUGAGAUUUCUCUCAGGUUAGUCAAAUUUCUGGUUGUUUAUAGUUUCUCUUUUAGAGUUUCAUCGUUUGAGAAUAUCUUGUUUCAAUAAGCUUCUUGCGUUUAUCGGUCUGUUGGUUGGGUCUUUGAGCUUCUUUUUUGUGUCAUUGAUUUUCUUGAAGGUCGAAUUUCCUCUCUGGAAAACCAGAUUAUCUGAUUUAUAACUUGGAUCUUGUAGUCUUGACUGACAUAUUUCCAUUUUUGAAUCUGCGAUUUCAGUGUUCAAAUGGUUUCUAAGUUUCUGCAAUUUUGUGUUUGUUUCUUUCUCAAUUUGUGUUUACUGUUAUUUGUACUCUUAAGUUCCUGCUUGUUUUACUAUGAUUUCAUCAAUUUUUGAUGUCUAAACUUUGAGAGUGCUCCAGAGAUGAGUUGAUGGUUGGUAUAAUGGACCGUAGAACUUGAGAAUGAGAUUUGGUUGCUUUGAUGUUUCUUAUGAUAGAGAGAAUACUUCUUUGAAGGCUUUCAUGUCUUGUAUAUAGUUCGCUGUGAAUGUUGCUUGUCUUUGAUUCAGUUUACAAAUGGUUUCUAAGUUUCUGCAAUUUUGUGUUUGUUUCUUUCUCAAUUUGUGUUUUGGAGAACACGACUGUUAUUUGUACUCUAAGCUCUUGCUUGUUUUGCUAUGAUUUCAUCAAUUUUUGAUGUCUAUACUUUGAGAGUGCUCCAGAGAUGAGUUGGUAUAAUGGACCGUAGAACUUGAGAACAAGAUUUGGUUGCUUUGAUGUUUCUUAUGAUAGAGAGAAUACUUCUUUGCUUUCUUUUUGAAGCCUUUCAUGUCUUGUAUAUAGUUCGCUGUGAUAUGUUGCUUGUCUUUGAUUCAGUUUAAAAUGUGAUCUGUUUUCACGAUAUCAUGUCUUUCACUUUUGCUUAGGUUCUUAGUGUGUUUUGUUCUUUGAAUUGCUAGCUUCCUACUAUGGUUUUUUGGUCUGAUUGGUGAUAUUCUUUUAAACCAUUGACUUCCAUGGAUGUUUGGUUUUAUUUUUAUGGAGAUGAUGAUAUGAACUUGUUGAUUUCUGUUUUUUAUAGAUGACUAUAUAUAGGAAGUUCAUAGAACGCAAACUCCACCCUUGGCGUAACAAGAAACUCUACCGUCCGCGUAAGAGAAGAAGAAGACGGAUAAAUGAAGACAUUGUUCUGCCUCCGGCAGAUGAAGACAUCGUUCUGGCUGACACAGUUCUGCCUCCUGGAGAUGAAGACAUCGUUCUGCCUCCGGCAGAUGAAGACAUCGUUCUGGCUCCUGUCGUUCUCGCUCCUGCAUCUGCAGACAUCGUUUUGCCUCCAACUACUAAAGAGUACAGACACAUAAGGCUAGAAAACGGUAUGGAAGCCAUUCUUGUCUCCGACCCAAUGGCUACUAAGGCUGCAGCUUCAUUGAGCGUUAGAGUAGGGAGUUACCUUGAUCCCGUGGAAUUUCAAGGAAUGGCACAUUUCCUUGAACACAUGCUUUUCCUGGGUUCUAAGAAAUUUCCGGGAGAGAACCAGGUAACAUUGUAAACCGCCAGUAUUAUUUAACCAUAAGAACAUAGAUGUCUGGUAAUGCUAAAUGUUUUUGUUUCUUUCUAGAUUUUCAACUUCUUGGCUGAGAAUGGAGGCUCAGCAAAUGCUUCAACAGUCAAUAUGAGUACUCAAUACUAUCUGACUGUUCAUCCAGAUUCCCUCCGAGAAGCUUUGGACAUGUUUUCACAGAUGUUUAUUUCUCCAUUACUAGAAUCCAAAUCUGUAGAAAAAGAAUUAGAUGCGGUUAAUGCAGGUUUGUGUAAAUAGAAUCCAGACUUAAAAGCUGAUCCAUUAAAUUUCAUUUAUGUUAAUUCGUGACUGUUACAUUGUAUUUGCAGAAUUUGAACUUAAUAAAGACCACGACAGUUGGCGUCUUAGUCAGCUUAUGGCUCACACAGCGAGAGAUGGACAUCCUAUACAUGGGUUUAUGAUCGGUAAACUUGCACACUAUAAUUACAAUAUUUUUAAUUAUCUAUUAUUUUGGGUUGUAAAUUAAUAUUUUCAUCUACCAGGGUCUAAAACAUCGUUGGGCAAGAACAUGACUGAUCUUCGUAUGGAAACUGUCAAGUUUUUUAACAAGUUUUAUCUUGGCGGUUUGAUGAAGUUUUCUGUAACAGGAAAAGGUAUAUUCUUGAAUUUUCAGUUUUUGUGCCUCAUGCUUUUUCUAAUUUCUAAUUAAUACUGAUAUGAUGUUAAUCAUUGUUUCCAGCAAAUCUUGAUGUGCUAGAGAGUUGGGUGAAAUUAUUUUUCUCUGAUAUCAAAGAAGGGACAACAUGUGUUGUACCUGAAUUCGAUGCAAGUCUUCCUAUUUGGAAUCCUAGGUCUCUCUAUGUGCUAGAGGCUCGUGAAUAUUUUCAGUUUUUGGAUGUUACAUGGAUGAUACCAAGUAGGUUUCAUUCCCGUUCGAGAAGGCUGGAAGUUUAUCUAGUUCAAUUAUUAGGACAUGGUGAGUUCUUUCUGAUAGUUCUUACUGAUUGAAUCUAGUUAACUACUUAUUGAUAUUUAUGUUUUAAUUUAGUGAGCAAAGGAUCCCUGUCUGCGUUUUUGAAGAAGCAAGGAUUGGCAUUUUCGGUAGAAGCUACUAGUGGUGUAUUUGGCGACUCGGUGAUUGGCACUGAUAUAUCUGUUCGGGUGGAUCUCACUAGGUCUGGUUUUGAAAAGGUACUCUCAAUCAAAGUUUAUAAUUAAUUUUGAUUAUGAUUUAUGUUAUCUUAUUCCGAAUUUAAACUAAUAUAAUUUGUUCAUUUAUUAUACAGAAAUAUGAGAUCGUUACAUACAUUUAUCAGUAUCUCAAGUUGUUGAGGGACACGCCUCCAGAAGAAUGGGUUAUAGAGGAAUAUCAAACGACAUUGAGAUCGCAAUUUGACCUUUUUGACAGCUCUGAUACAGCACCAGAAGAAUUAGUAAAUAGUCUUUCAGGUUUGUAAUUAUGUAUCUUCGUAUUUUCGUAUUUAUCUAUAUUAUUGCUGUGGUGAACUUAAUUUGGAAUUUUCUAAUAUGUAGAGAACAUGCUUCAUUAUGAGAUAAGAAACGUCCUUUCUGGGCAUUAUGGAAUGAAUAUGGAGUGGAAACCUGAGGAGAUUCAAGAAGUUAUGGAGCAACUCACCCCUAUCAAUAUGAGGAUUGACUUAAAAUCAAGAUCAUUCAGCUUAUCAACAGGUACAGGAUAAUUUGUUUAAUGUAUUUUUUCUCACAUAUUCUCAUGGUAAUUUUUAUUUGUUUCAGGAUGUAGGAUUGAACCUAUAUACAAUUCACUCUACACUGAAGAGGAAAUUCCACAGGAGUUUCUGAACCAAUGGGAGAAUAUUCAGCAUGUUGAUGAUGCAUUGCAUAUGCCAUCCAAGAACAGAUAUACAUUGUCUCCUCCCUUCCUUCUAAGAGAUGUUACUUUUGAAGGUGAAGAUGUCUCUCUCAUCGUGGAUACUCCUUUCAUGAAGAUGUGGCAUAAACACAAGAAGGUGUUGCCGGUAGCGAAGUUCUGCAUUUUCACAAAGCCUAUGGAGUCUGGAGGUGAUAGCUUUGAUAGAGAUUUGAAGUCUAGACUCUUUGUGGAUCUCCUUGAGGAUGAAUUGAGUGAGAUAAUAUUCUUGGUAAGUGUAUUCUCUUUCUCCUUAUCCCAUUGAAAUUUUGGGUUGUCUUUUAUUUAUUGAUAUUGUUAUACUUUGUUUACAGGCUAAAUCAGCGGGUAUGAAGAUUGAUUUAACCAGUGUUAGUGACAACCGGCUAGAGUUGGGAUUUCAUGGCAGCAUACAAAAGUUGGGUCUAUGUGUUUCUCAAGUUUGGGAGAAGUUUUUUGACUUUCAGCCAACUGUCGACAGACUUGAGGUAUUAUUCAAUUUUUAUCUACUAAUUUAUACAAGUUGUUGCAUAAGUUUUAUGAAUGUUUUAAUUUGUAUUUCAGAUUAUUAAAGAGAAGAUGGGAGAAAAUGCAGAUGAGCAGCAGAUGGAACGUUUGAGUGGAUAUUCUCUUAAUGAUCUCCAAAACUACAUCAGACAUAAGCGUUCCCAGGUAAAAUACUUACUUUUAGUAUUGUAGCAAUGGUUUGCUGUUUUAUGUCUGAUGAUUGCCAUGUUCUGUAGAUAUAUCUUGAAGGUCUGUAUUUCGGAGACAUUUUGAUAUCUGAAGCAAAAAGUAUCUCAAACUUUUUCAAGACACCGGGGAUACCUUCACUCCCAGAGAAUUUGAGAGACAAAGAAGAAGAGAAAAAACAAUUUGUGGCUAAACCUGCCCAAAAAGUCUUCUAUAAAAACAAGAUUAAUAAUAUUGCAAAGGUGCAAGAGAAACCCUAACUUCUACUGUUAUAAGUUUGUUAAUGAAUUGAAUAUAUAAUCGGUUGUUUGUUUUUUUAGGUUUCCUAUCAUGUAGGAUGCCAAAGCGAUGAAGUAAAGGAUAUGGCAAUGUUGAAUCUUCUUAUUUCCUUCAUAGAGGACAGAGUGUAUUAUACGCUAAGGUUAGUUCUGUUCAAUAUUUGUAAUGAGGUCAAUGUUGGAAUUUGCAUUAAGAUUUUAUUUGCUUUAGGACUGAGGAAAGGCUUGGAUAUUCUGUUUGUUGUGUACCUAAUUUGACCUAUGCGGGAGUUGGAUUUGACAUUAAAGUAACCUCUCCGGCGUAUUCACCUGAUCAUCUGUGGAAACGGAUACGCAAUUUCGUAAAGAGGCUUGGUAAUUGGCUGGUAUGUCUUUUUAAUAGAAAUUAUUCAUCCUGUCUAUUAUUUAAUAUCAUUCGUGAUCAUCUAUUAUCAUUUACAUGGUCGUAUACUUGAUAAAAUGGAGUUAGUGAUGUAACCUUCAACGGGUACCGAAGCGGGGUGAUUCGUGAUGUCUCUAGUGAUGAAGGGAAGAACAUAUGGGAAGAGAUUCGUGAUCAAAGGUAGAGUUCAUCAAAAUCAAAUACAUGACAGUGUAUUUUCUUUUUCUUUGUGCUUUGAAGAUACUGACCUGUGACGGUUUUAUUUUCAGGUAUAAAUUUGAUCAUUCCUCUGAAGUAAAAAGGGAAAUUGGGUUAAUCAGUAAACAAAUGUUAAUCGAUUGGUACAACAGACAUAUUCGAGGUGACCCCCGUACUCAUGCUCAGCUCUGUUAUGGACGCGACACUAAAAGAAACUUUGGGAAGAGGAAAUGUAUUACUCGUGCAAGAAGCAGGUUCGAGCUAACUGGGAGGAGGAUGAAAUUACGGAAGCACCGUCUGCUGUGUUCGAAACUGCGUUUCUCCACUGGCACCAUUUCCAAAAACAACAAGUUGAUUUAGUAUUAACGAUUUGGGUAAACUUGUUUUGUAGACACUUGUUAACAGAAUGGGUUGAUGUUUGUUUUGCCCCAACUCUUUUUGUCCCCACCUAUGUGUGCUUGGCUUACAUUCCUCGGCAUAGAGUAGCCAUACUUGUUUUCAACAACUUUUUGUAAGCAUCACUCUAUUUGCUUAUUAAUCUCCUUAUCAGGCGCUUUCAAGUUUUGUUUUUGAGUUUUCUGCAAUGUAUUCGAAUCACUGGGAAAGUGGGCUUCUGCAUUUGUCUUCUGCCUUGACUUUCUCUACUUCUUGCAGUUUUCAAAUAAAUAACCGUGCAUUGUCUAUAAUGCUCGUCAAGUAAUUCUUGAAUUUUAUUGCAUUCUUGGUGUCUUAUCACUUGUAGAAUAUCUUGUGUUCUACUUUGUUGAGUUUACUGGCAGUGCUCUGCAUCUGGGAAGUAAUGUACCAAUGCGUACGAUGUUUCUAGAAUAUGCUGUUGCUCUUGCUAUUGUUGUUGGGAUAGUGCUCUUUACAGGAUGCAAGUCUUUUUGUUUGGUGAUUUGGUACAAGUUACACUUGAUUGUCUUGAAUAAUCUUUCUGAUAUUAUGAUUUCCUUGUGUUCUCUUCUAAUUAAAGUACUUUUGGUGGCUUUGUCUACCUACCUUCAUCAGGUGACCAAAGUCUAUUAUUAUUCGAUCACAAGGUUCAUUGUGUUGGUAUUUUUGUUGAUUAGCUUUUCACAUAUACAUUAGGGUCAGUAACAUACUUAGUGACCUGACAAGCUAAGUCAUCUAAAUAUUUUCAGGAAGCAAUUGGACCAGGGCUAGAGCUAUGAAGAGAGCAGAAAAAUGUGAAAGCAGUUGAAAAUGACAACCGUCAUAUCUACAUGUUUGAGAUCUGAUUUAAAAUCUGUUCUAUGUCUGACAAACUUGGCUGAUGCCACUAGUGAUGUUGGUUACUAUAUGUAGAGGGCUUUUGGCCUGUAGGGUGCAAUUAUAUUGGUAAUCAUUCCUAGUAAUAAUCCAGCUAAAAUGUAAAAACCGGUGCUAUAGUUUCGUUUAGAUUGGCACCCUUACGCAUUAUACAUUGUAGAUUUAAAGCCUUAACUGGAUUUCACUGCAGGAGUUGACCUAUUAGAAGACAUGUAUCUGCAAAUUGAUUGUUGAUGUGGCUUUUCCUUGGUUAAGCUCUCGCCUUUUCAUCAAAAAAUGCUUUUGAAGCGUUGAGUACAAUAGAGAGCUUGGUUUUGUAUUUUUUGUGUAUCAAUUGUAAACAUUAAAAGAGGACAAUAAAAUGAAAUAGUAAAAGUUGCAGACUUAUUCAAAUUCUUCUCUACUCCUACACUGUGUAUACCUUGUUCCCUUGCUUGAUCUGACUCUAUGUUUGAUAUUGUGGCGCUGGGGAAAUGAUGCUUGGCUUUAAGCUCGUCUUCGUUACCAUUCAUCCAAUGAAGUAGUGUAUUUUAUGAUCUGAAUUCUGAAGUGCAUUAUGCUGUUUCAGAGGUCUUUCUAUUUGUCCUAAUGUUCUUGUCUUCAGUGGGCAUGAAUAACAUCGAUGAUUCUCACGAGUGGUUAUUGUGGCUCAGUUCUGCCUACUGCAUUUAGAUACUAUGCCUCAAGCCACCUAGUAUUGAAUAACAUAGAUGUAUGAGGAAAAAGUGUCAUGUAACUAAAAAUCAUUCAGGCCACCAAAGGCUUAAUGAGUCAUAAGCGGGUUUGCUAUUGAGAAUGUACCAGAAGCAAACCAAUUGAUCUUGUGGACUUUACCGUUGCCAAAAGCAUUCAAGUAAGAUGAUUCAAAACAUGGCAUGCUAAACUAAUUAAGUACAAGUUAUUUGCAGAAUCACAAUAUCCCUCUUACAUAUAGAAUAACAAUAAAAACCUCAAAGGAUUGGAGAUAAUUUGCUAACGAUGUGAAUCAUUUGCCGCAACAAAAUUAAUCGUGGAUUGAGAGAAAAUUUCUAGUUAUAACUACAUAAACCAACAAAUCAAUGAAAAUUGUGUCCUCCACUAACAUUAAACUAACCAGGAAAAAUCGAAGCAACAUCUUAUGUCCAGCUAUUACCGAAGGAGACAAAGAUUUAAUCAUCAUAGUAUCGCAAGCUAAAGAUAUAACUUAGAAAACAUCACUUAAUUAAUAAUAUAUAUUACAAAACUUAAAAGUUGAAACUUAUUGGAGAACUUGUAUUUCCAUAAGACAGCGGCUUAGCUUUAGGUGGUGGCAUUGGGGUUAACCUCGACCAACUUCUUAUUCUUCUUCUUCUUCUUCUCUUUGACCUCGACCAACUUAUUCUCCCUUUUCUUCAUCUCCUUCUUUGUGAUCUUGGCCAACUUCUUAUUCUUCCUCUUAUUCUUCAUAGCUUUGCGCUUGUUGGGGAUUCGCAACUUUGAACUUGAUGCGAGAUCGUUAUCGAUGCUGACUCAGAUGAAAUCACAAUUUAACAACCAAUUAAUUAUAGUCAUAUCGAAUAAUUAUAAUAAUAACCAAACCUAGUACUUUGAUAUACAUAUCUUUAGACUAGAGAUAUAUUAAAAUAAAUGGAAUCGAUACCUUGACGUCCAGCUACUAGGCUUGAAAUCCCGAUCAUCCCUCAUUCGAAGGAAAGAGUAAUCCGAACUUUUAUGAGAAACACCGCAACAAAUCUGAUACCGUUUAGGUGCGUUUUUCGUAUUAAAUGGUUUUGGCGGAACGUCCAUAUCUAUUGUUGCUCUGAGUUCCGGCUUCCGAGUUCCACAAUGCUAUGAACCCUAAUAUUACACAUGUAUGUCUAUAUAUCAAUAUAUAUGGGCUCUUCAACUCCUGAUCCAGCCCAUACUAUAAUGGCCUAACUUCUCUUCUAUCAAAGCUUAUAAUAAUUGAUCCAGCCCAUACUAUUAUGGCCCAACUUCUCUUCUAUCAAAGCGGAUUACGCAAGAUCCAUCAAGGCAGCUGCAAAAUUUCGGUUUAGAUAGAUUUAAUGUUAGUGAACCGGGUUUUGUUUUUUGGUUUACUUUGAUUCAUUAGAUGAGAAGAAUUACAAUACAUGGAGCAUUGAAAUUACCUUAGCUUUAGAUGCCAAGAAUAAGCUAGUAUUUGUUUAUGGUAGCAUUCUAUGGUUUGAUUAUGCUUCAGCCAUUUCGAAAGAUUUGUUGAUUCGAUAUCAUGUGACUAAUCUGCCUAGAUCAUAUCAGCUUACACAAAUUUGGGCACUGCAGCAAGGGUCAAUGGAUUUCUCAAAUUACUAUACAAAGCUGAAGACGUUAUAGUAUGAUUUAGACUCCACAGAUUGUGUCAAAACUUGUCACAAUUGUAAGUGUUGCAAGGCCGUCUCAACCAAGAAUCAACAUGCUCGCAUUAUCAAGUUCCUGGCUGGCCUAAAUGACUAUUUUCCAAACAUUAGAAGUUAGAUAAUCAUGAAAAAAAUAUUAUCCAUGAGAUAGCGGUUUCAAAUAUUCCAUUUUCAUCUCUUUAAUUCUGUUGUUAAAUGUUGACAAAAAAAUUCUGUUGUUAAACAUUUGUUUAUGUCGUAUUUGACUGUCGCAUUUUAUUUUGAACUAGGUGAAUACCCGUACGUUACGUGCGGAUUUUUCUUUUCAAUUUUUUUUUCAAAUUUUUUUAUAUAUAAUUUUAUUAAAAUUAAUAUAGUCAUCACUUGUUACUUACUUACUUGUUAAUAUUUUAUUCUAAAAAUUUUAAAAUAUUAAUUUAAAAUACAUAUUGAAUAUUACUUAAUAAUUUAAAAUUAUAUUAAAAAUAAUAAGUAUCAUUCAAUAUUUUUAAUUACUUAUAACAUAAAUUUUUGUUUAACAUUUACACAAAUAUUAAUUAAUAAUUAAUUAAUAAAAAAUUAAAAUAAAUAUAAUCAUCAUUUCAUUUGUUACUUAUUAGUAUUUUAUUAUAAAUAAUCUUAAAAAAUUAAUUUAAAAUACAUCUCGAAUAUUAUUAAGUAAUAUACAGUUAUAUAAAAAUUUAAUACAUAUCUAUUAAUAUUUUUAAUCAGUUAUAACAUAAAUGUUUGUUUAACAUUAAUAUAAAUGCUAAUUAUGAGUCAACUAAUAAAAUAAACUUUUCAUAUUCUUUAAGUGCUUUAAAAUUUAAUAUUAAAAUAUACUAAUUAAAAUUUAAGUGACAAGUGUCAACUUCUCCAAUGCUGAUGUGUCAAGCCUAUAGGGUUUUCAUCCGCCAUUGAAGUAGAAGGUGGAGGAGGAGAAUCGAUCGAUGGGUUUGUUGUUCUGAUGUUUAUCGAGGAUGGAGGAAGCUGAUCUUCGAAAUUUCAAAGCCUCAAAAUUAGAUUAGAGAUUUUGGGGUUUAUGGUUUGUUUUUGUGAAGAAAAAGAGAAAUAGGAGAAAAGUUUUACGGAGUGAAAUAAUUAUUAUCUGUGUGUUUUAUAAAAAUUUUAAUGAGAUGAUGUGUCAAUGAUGUGUCAAAAAAUUAGGUGGCUAAGUGUUAAGCUGAUGAGACUUAACCCAAUCUUUAUAUAAUAAUCGUUUUAGGAUAAAUACAUUGUUCUUUUUGGCAAAAAACUGAUAGAUAGCCUUUACCAUAGAACAUAAACUAGUCAAGUGUCGCUAUAGUUUUGACCUUAUAUACAUUAGGUAUGGAUUGAUAUGAUUAAAUAUGAUGUAGAAAUAUCGAUAGAGAAAGAAAUAGAUCAUUAUUUGGUAUCUACCAAGGUCGCUUUCCUAAUGAAUACGUCAUUAUCCAACAUCGCCUGAAAUCAAGCAAUUGGUCUUAAAAAAGACCAAAUCUAAGCAAAAAGUGUUGCAAAGACAAAGGAGCACGAUCAUUUAAACUUCAACAUCAAAACUGUUUUUAUUUGUCACCUAUUUUGACUAGAUGGUUGGUAUAAAGCAGAUUGUUCUUGAUGAGUAUGACGAGGAUACAUGUAUGUAUCUAUGAAUGAUGGUCGAUCUACAAGAAUGUUAAGGAGAGAAUCAUAAACUCCUUGCUCUUGUAAGAAAAGAAUCAUUACCGUAUCUGUUAACUUUGGUUGAGACUUGGAGACUGAUUAAGAUGAUGAUGAUUCACCCGGAUUUUUAAGCUGGUUUCCUUUUUCGGCUGGUUUCUCGCUACCUGUAGUACCGGGCUGCUGUCUUAACUGGAAAAUACCAGUCAGUCCCCGUGCCUUAGCAAGUUGUUCAAGCUCUAACAGUUUGCUCUUGAGAUCCGCGACUUGUUUUUCCAGUUCUUCAUCUUUUGUUCUCAACUCCUGUAAAUGCAAAGAGUUUAAAAAACUCAAACCAUUCAAUAACCAAACCUCAACAUUGUUACUUCUGGUUAUCAUUCUAUCUCAUUUGAAGUUCUGAACAAACACACAAGUUUUCCCGGUUUCUUAACUGUCCAGUCCUGUUUUGUUUAGUUGUUUACAAGAACGUUCAUAUAAAUCAAUCCUAUAGCAGCACACAUUUAUGGCAUUGUCCAGUUAUAUAUAGAAUAUUCUUCCUGAGCAGGUCGAUGUAUGCUAAUUUGAUGAACAUAUAUGCAUCCCAAUCUCAGUUGAAGUACUAACAGUACGUAACAAAGAUAAAUCCUGAAGGGCACAAGAAAAGGUACACUUAGAAGGCAAAAAUUAUCUUCCAAAAAGUGUUCUUGUGUACCUCUAGUUCUUGCUUGCGCGCUUCCUCUUUUCUUGCUUCUGACCGCGAACUUCUUUGCACCUCAAAAACAACAACGCCUCCUCCAACCUGCUCAUAGAAUCUAUAAGUUCUACGGAACAAUUGAGAAUUGCAUAGAAGAAUGGUUCUCAAGGCCAGCUAAAUUUUUCAAUUUAUCCAACUUUGACACCACCAAAUUGAUAUGGGACAUGGAAGAAACUAACAAUUUUUUAGUUAAGUUAUAAGGGCAGGUCCAUUCAAAGGGAAGCGCCUUAUGGUAUCAGACAAAACUUACUAUGAAAACAAAAGCAAGAAAAGAUGGUACCCAAAAAAACAGCAUUGCAGACGAUGAUUGAGUAGAACCAAAUAAUUUCUCAGCCAUCAGCCAUUUUCAUCAAAAACGGUCUUUUACACUAUGCUUCUCUUAAACAUCUUGACCAGGUAAAAUGAUCCAGUUUCUCAAGGCCAAAAUAAUCCCUUUUCAAAUAGACCAUUACCAAUUCAUGAAACGCAACUAACCAUUCAUGAGCUAAAACAGGUCCAUGAAGGUAAUUCAAGAUUCAAUGCUCAUCAAAAGCAUCACCAUAAACUUGUCCGUUUGAAAGAGAUAAUAUGAAAGAGGAUAAACAAAAUGCUGAGCAAAGAGAUAAUACCGCAAAGAUAAAGAGCUCUCCGAUUAGGUCUACAGCAGCUUGAACAGCCUUUUCCUCGUCCAAGGGACGAAUCUCCACAUCAGUGGCAUGACCAUAUAUCCUUCUUUGCAUCUGCGUCGUUAUUCUGUGGUUUCUCUGGUCACAUUUAUCAAACAACACAUCAAUCCCAGAUCACAAACGAAUGUUCCACUUUCAACUAUCAUUAUUAUCCAAAACCUAACCACGACUUAUCUACAACAAAUCCUAGAUUAUGGUCAGAAGCUCAGGAGACGUUAUCAGAAUCAAAACGAGAAAUUUUAAGAAAAUCAAGAUCAAGGAACGCAAAGACUAUAAAAGGGAAUUAGAAUCUCAAAGAAAACGAGGAGACAGAGAGAUAAACGGGAUUCAAAAAUCACCUGAGCGAAGUUGAUGAUGAAUUGACGAAACUUGGGAUGAACCUUGGCUUGGUGCUUAAGCUGACUAGCUAAGGGCUUACUUAUGGUUUUUACAGCUAGGGUGCCCAGUUUCAUCAACGGCAACACCAUUUUUGAGUUCCAAAAACCUCACAAAAAGAGGAAUUUUCAGUUGAUUCGAACAGAGAGGGAGAGAGAAUGCGAGGGGUCUGGAACUAAUCUGGGUGAGCAAAAUGUAUUAUAAGAGAAGAGAAAUCGCCAUGGGAUUAUUGAAAACUCGUAGGAAGGUUAGAUCAAGGGUUUUUCGAAUUUUUUACAGAUGGGAUUUGACGAAGAAGAAGAAGAAAGAGAGGCUUAAGAGGCUGACUCGCUUGAAUGGGGUCUGAAACGGGAAGGCAUCUUCUUUCUUCUACCACCAUAUUAAUAUUAUUGUAUAUUUGUCAAAAUGGACCCUCUUGUCUUUCUUUUUCUUCUUUCGCAAGUUCGAUUUGUUGAAUACAUUACAUUUUUAGACCCUAUUUCCACGGAAUCGAAACUUGACUUUACUUUGUAAGUUUCUUUCUUUAAUAUUUUCAAGGAUAUUUGUUUAUGUGACAAUUCAGCUCAUCUCGAAACAUGCUGUAUAACAGAUUGGAUUGCAGGGAGGUGUUCUUUCUACCCAUUAGCUUAUAUAUAGUGGCAAGUUUGAUAAUACAGUAUUAGAUUGUGUUGAGAGUCCAAAAAAAAUUAGACUUCAAUCUCAAAGAAGUACCAGAAGGAAAAAAAAGUAGAAGUAGGAUCGGAUAAGUAGAGAAAGAUCAGAGAACUUUAUGUAAUACUAUGUUCCUUUCUGUUUCAGCACAAACAUAACAGAAGUAACACAUCAAAAUACCAUCUCUAAGAUUCGGCUGCUCGGUUUUAGGUCAAGAAGACGAGAACGAAUAGGAUGAUGAACAAAACGAGCAAGAAACAUAUCAUCAUCAUCUGCCCUUUCGCUCCAGCUUUCUUCAUUACCAUUCCCACUUUUUUCUGUCACAAAAACAUAUUUUUAAUUCUUUCAACUUUCCCAUUUUCUCAUCACUUACGAAAAAAUAAGACCUUUAGGGUUGGUUUUACCUGAACAAAGUCAAGCCGGUUCUUCGUACUGUCCAUCUCUGUACCCAAUUCAUCUAUGAUUCUCUCCUGAAACACCCAAAUAAUAAAAAAAAACUUGAUGUUUCUGAUCUCUGCUGACACUAGUAUUGUUAUCUCUUUCCCAUCAUUACUAACCUGUGCAACGAGUUCAUCGUGUAUAGUAAGCCCCACUCCUCCGAUUCUCUGUACACUUUUACUGAGCUCAUCUAGUUCUUCGUCUUGUUGCCUGAAGUGACAAAAAUGAUGUCAAGUUAUGGCAUUUCUCAGAGAAGCUAUGCAACAAUCUUUAUCGAGCAUUUGCGGUCCAAAAUCAUGAUUAACCUCAUAUAGCAAACAAGAGAUUGCAAGAAGCAGUGAAAGAGCUAUACUUUAUCAACAGCAUUUGCCUAUCUGAUUCUGACUGUACAAAACCGUCAUCAUCUCUCCCUCCGUACUGAUCGUAUCUAUUUGCUUCAGUCGAGUUUGGCAUUCUCAUUAGUUCUCGGCGCACUUCACUUGCAUUACCGGCUCCAGCAUUACCCUUUCCAGCUAGAACACCAGUUUUCACAUUCCGAACCUAUUAAAAAAGUAUUGUUUUUUUGGUCUUGCACAGGUCAACUAACAACAAAUUUAUGAGACACUCUCUAAAGCAGCAAAAGCAGUAUUCAUUACACACUUAAGAGACAAUACCUGUGUCCUAGCAUUACUAGUCCAUCUUCUCCGUCUUUCAAGCUCAGCUUCAUCAAUGCCAUACAAUGCAGGAUCUUUUGCUGCAACAGUGACCGCUUUUUCCAGCUCAUCUACCUUCCUAUCAAUAAAGACAGCUUCAAUACCCAUGAAAGGACUCUUAAUUUUAACGGAUCACUUAUUCUAUUGUAUCUUUUUGAGUAUCUAGAUAACCGAGAUUGACAUUACAUUAGCAGAAAAACAAGGGCAUAUUCAUUCUACGAAAUGAGCUAGUGUUCAGCAUCCAUCAUCCUAUUCAACAACUAAUACAAAAUACAGAUUCCAUUGACGAUAUUAACAGGAGAGUUACUAAAUACGAGUACCUGCCACUCAAUGCUUCCACAAUUAGCAAGAAUCUCCUUGGUCACAUGCACUUGAUCCCCCAUGCCGGGAGAGAUACGCUCCCAUUUGUGGAAUGUAGAUUGCAACUUAUCAAUCUAUCAAAGCACCCAUGACCAAAAAUCCCAAACAUUAAUCAGUGUCCUUCAAAUCUAAAAAAAUAAAAUCAACUCCCGCUGGCCAAUUCCAAAUAACUUACAGAGUCCUGGAUCUCUUCCUUAACAAUAUAGAAUGGAUCUUGCGCUGAAGACAUCUCGGAAUCGUACAAAUUUGUGCUACCCUGUACAGUAUACAUCAAAGAACAGAGCUGAAUUAAGCAAUAAAAUCAAAUUCCAAUCCACAAAGGAAGAACACAAGUCAAAAUGACAAAAAAUUUCCCAAAUUAUAUGAUUGAACAAAGUCACAAUGAUCAACUCGGCACAACAAUUAGAUCCUAACAAAUUCCGAUUAAAUCCUGGCUAAUCAAGGUCAAAAUUUCUACAGUAUAACGGGAAUAGCUUUAUCAAUCUCUGUACUUUAAGAUCGAUGCAAACCGUAGAAAAGAAAAAAAAAGCAGAAAAGUUGCGUUUAGAAACAGGGAAAAGUGCGAAAGCACAAUUGGUGUAAGAGAAAAAUUAAGAAGGUUUUUCUUUUACCUGAGAGGGAUUAAUCGAAAGGCGAGGCGAUGCAGAUCAAUGAAGAAGAACAAACGGCGGUGAAGUAGAAGAAUUCCGGCGUGAGAUUCGUCUCUUACACAGCAAAACGCAUCACCUGCGGUUGGCUUAGAAGAUUCGCUGGAGAGGAUCGCAGAAAACUCAACUUUGGGCUUAUUGGAGAAGCUAACAAAGCCCAUAACAGACCAUAGAGCCUUUUUAUUGUUUUUAGUAAUCAAAUAAAACACCUAAUUGCGGCAAAAAAAAAAAGAAUUUUCAAAAACUUUGAUCUGUUACUAUGCUCGUUUUAUUCAUCUAUGGAUUUGAUGAAGUGACAACACUAGUGUUAGUAUAAACUACUAAACAACAAUUCUGUAGACUUGUGAAGUAUGUGUAUCGGCUGACAAAAUCACAAAAGCCUAUGAGUUAAGAAAAUAUUUGAUAAGAAUUAAUCUCACCUAUUGACAGGAGAUCUUUAGAUAUAAGUUCAAAAAAAAUUAAGUCAAACUACACAUGCUAAGAAUACUGAAUGACUCUAGUCUCUUCCCAUUGGAUGAACGGUGAUUUCUGUAUGUGUAGAGGAUAAACAAUGAUUUUAAUGAUGUGAGUCCAUAACUCAGAUAUAUACUUUUGCUUAAAUGGAUUUUUAGCAAAUGCAACAUUAUUGGGAAAGAAAUUUUUUUUUUAUAUUUUGCUUACAUUCUCUAAAAAAUAUAGGCACCAUAUCUUGAACAAUUCUUAUAAACAAACACAAAAAAAUACAUUUAAAAUAAUCAUAAUGAAAAAUAUGAACAAAUCAAUCUUGGUCGUUUGUAUCAGUUUAGUAGUGUUUCUAUCCCCAACUCUCGGUGCUAAAAUGAUGAGUAACCAGAAUGGCGAUAGACACUGUGGAAUGGCGCAAGGCAAGGUGAUAAGUUCAUGUUUGCAUCGAGAUAACGGACAAUCGAGACAAGGUGAUUGUUGUCAAGCUUUAUACGAGCUAAACUUACAAGCAGAGACGCCAAACGCACGUCAAGAUCUCUGCAGGUGUUUCCAAGAAAUUGUAUGGUUGUCUCCUUAUAAUAAACUUAUCGGGUUGCCUGAACACUGUGGUAUUUCUAAGGCGGUUCCAUUUGACACUAAAACGGAUUGUGGAAGGUACAUUACUAUAUUCUUUUUUUUUUAAAUUUUCUGUUUCUUUUAGGAAAAAAUCAUUAUUUGCGUACUAUCUGGAUAGAACUUUUGAGAUUUUCUUUCUAGAAUGAAAUUAUGUGAUGGGUAUUAAAUUACUGUUUAUCUAAGUUUUAUUAAAAUACCAUCCACCAAUUUUUUAAUUGUAGAAAAACAAAGUGGUUUUGAACUUGAUUUUUCUAAUUUGAAUCAUCGUUUUGCAGGAUUAAGCUCUGAGAAAUGUAUACAUUCGCAAUGAAUAAAACAAAAAUGAACCAAGAACCAAAAAAAAAAAAACUGAACAAGAAAAUUAUAUAUGACAAUUUACUUCCGUUUUUCUCACCGUAAUGUGCUCUAAUAUUCCCGAUUCAAUAAAACUCACUACCUCACUUUUAAUUCUCUCACAAUUAUUGCUAUAUUCACCAUAUUGACAUUUUGAGAUUAGUAUGUAUAUAAUAUUUUGGAGAGAGCCUAUUGAAAAAUUAACGCAAGUUCUUCUCUUACUAUCACAUUUGUUGCUCCCCAAUAACACCUAACUAAUAUCAGCUUUCUUACCAUUCAAACCACUCUAAUUAUAAAGCAAACGAUAUUUUGGUAAAUCAUAUGGUAAAGCACAAUAAUCAACAAGCACACUAUGUUUUACCAUA